CCCCUGAGUUGGUGAUGGACAGGGAGGCCUGUCGCGCUGCAGUUCAUGGGGUCUCAAAGAGUUGGAUACAACUGAGCGAAUGAACUGAACUGAACUGAAGUUGGUCAUAGCUUUUCUUCCAAGGAGCAAGUGUCUUUUAAUUCCAUGGCUACGGUCACCAUCUGCAGUGAUUUUGGAUCCCCCAAAAAUAAAGUCUGACAGUGUUUCUAUUGUUUUCCCAUCUGUUUGCCAUGAAGUGAUGGGACCAGAUGCCAUGAUUUUAGUUUUCUGAAUGUUGAGUUUUAAGCCAACUUUUUCACUCUCCUCUUUCACUUUCAUCAGGAGGCUCUUUAAUUCUUCUUCACUUUCUGUCAUAAGGAUGGGGUCAUCUGCAUAUCUGAGGUUAUUGAUAUUUCUCCUGGCAAUCUUGAUUCCAGCUUGUGCUUCAUCCAGCCCAGCAUUUCUCAUGAUGUACUCUGCAUAUAAGCUAAAUAAGCAGGGUGACAAUAUACAACCUUGAGGCACUCCUUUCCCAAUUUCGAACCAGUCUGUUGUUCCAUAUCCUGUUCUAACUGUCGCUUCUUGACCUGCCUACAGAUUUCUCAGGAGGCAGGUCAGGUGUUCUGGUAUUCCCAACUGUUUAAACUUUCCACAGUUUGUUGUGAUCCACAACGUGUAUAGGUGGCGGGGUGGGGUGGGGGGGAGCGGGGGUGGUAGUAAAUAAAAGACCAUAUGGAAAGGCAGGAAGAAGAUGAGCUGGGAUACGUUGCCGCAGGAGGUAGCCCAGAGGAUGGCAGAAUCAGGCCCGAAAGGCUCCUCCCAGAAGCCCAUUCCCCAGCAGAAGCCAAGUCUCACAGGAUCUCGCGGGUUUGUAAGAGGUUGGCAAGAGGUUCCUGAAAGGGGAAACACCUGGGUGCCUCACUCAGAAUGGAGUUUGGUUCCCAUCGUCUACCCGGCCAAAGCCGCUCCUGGGGCUGCCUCCCCUCUUGCCGUUCUUCGUGAGUCUGUCUGUGUGGCGGCCUGUUCGUCCCAGCUGCACCCUCAGCUCUUAAGGACCCAGCUCAGGCCUGUGGCUGUGCAGGGGCUGGAGCACCCAAGGCCCGAGUGGGAGAGGGAACUGCUCGUGCUUGUGCUGCAAGUGCAUCAAGUUCUGAGAGGCCGAGGGGCCACGCCAGGAACCCAAGCUUCUGCUGUGGGCCACUGGGGCCCCAUCUAACGUCUGCAAGGUGCAGGACUGCACCAGGUCCAGGUGCGAGCCCUGCCAUCGCACCGAGCUUGUUUGUUUCUCUGCGCUGCGCCCGGAAGCAGUGAGGGGCCUAGGAGUCCUCCCCGGAGACCACGACCACCUGUUCCCAGAGACUUUCCCGGAAGAACAGCCUCAGGACCUCAGUGGAUUUGAUGAUGGCCACGUGCAUUGGGAAGGAUGAUCUGUGUCACCGAGUCCACGGAUUCAAACACUCAUCUCAUUUGGAGAUAGCCCACAGACACAUCAGAACUGCUUUUAAUCUCCAGGGAAGAUCCCCUGGAGCAGGGCAUGGCAACCCACUCAGGAGCCUGGCGGGCUACAGUCCAUGGGGUCGCAAAGAGUCAGACAUGACUGAGUGACUAAGCACCCCAUGACCAGUGAAGUUGACAUUAACCAUCGCAACCAUGUUGUUCUUCCAGUUUCACUCUUGUGUCCACACCCCAGGCUAAUGCAGGACAACUUGUUCAGUGGCCACUUUUCACUGUUCAGAAUGAAGUAAAGGGGUAACCUUCGCCCUACCCUGCCUCCUGCGACCUCUACAGGAGACCUCAGUUGGAUCACUCAAAUGCUGACAUUCAACCAUUUUUUUGAGCUAAGAAUAACAGCAAUUCCAUAUGGUUCAAGCCACGCGUCAACGGAUGGAAUCCCCUGAAGAGAUGGAGAGUGACGCGUAGGGCCCCCAAUGUCCCCUGACCCUGUCACAUUUCACAUUCAGAAGGUCUGGGAAAUUGCUGGCAAAGGAUGUUUUAACAGAGCCUGGAGGAAAAUGGAACAAGCCGAAUGCUGUCAGAAUUGCUGAUGCGAGCAGCGCAGGGUCUGUAAGAGAGUUGGUGCAUUGACCCUCGGCUCCAUGAGCCGCAAGACCUCCCUGCAUGUGCCCCGUGGCCUGGGGGUAUUCAGGUGGGAAGAAGGCCCUCCAGCGCCAUCCAGGAGGCCUGGCUUCCCCUCGGGGUGGAGGUCAGCCUCUCAAGCUAGACAGCAAGUUGGAGCAGGGUGCAGAGUGAAGCCAGAGGAGCCAGUGAACACCCCGUUCCUGUUUCUAAAGACAGUGAGAAUGCAGGCUUCGAGUUCAAUUGACUUGCCCAAGGUUAAGGACAAUGAUAAGAAACCAAGUCCUCCGGUCCCGCUUCAGCCCUCUUUCCAUCGUGCUUUUUCAUCGUUCUAGUCCGAGGACAGUUCUUGAUUCAGAAAUGCUAAGGUUUUUGUGUAUGGCUGAGUCCCUUCACCUGAAACUGUCACAACAUGGUUAAUUGGCUAUGUGCUCAGUUGCUUUAGCUGUGUCUGACUCAUUGCGACCCUGUGGACUAUAGCCC
Bos taurus (domestic cattle) is the source of this 2538-nucleotide long non-coding RNA. Lineage: Eukaryota; Metazoa; Chordata; Mammalia; Artiodactyla; Bovidae. The record is from Ensembl.